RNAcentral lists this ribosomal RNA (451 nucleotides) under uncultured bacterium. RNAcentral describes it as "partial 16S ribosomal RNA". It matches the Rfam family "Bacterial small subunit ribosomal RNA", at positions 354 to 796 of the family's 1533-position model. The record is from RNAcentral.
GUGGGGAAUAUUGGACAAUGGGCGAAAGCCUGAUCCAGCCAUGCCGCGUGUGUGAAGAAGGUCUUCGGAUUGUAAAGCACUUUAAGUGGGGAGGAGGCUUACCUGGUUAAUACCUGGGCUAAGUGGACGUUACCCACAGAAUAAGCACCGGCUAACUCUGUGCCAGCAGCCGCGGUAAUACAGAGGGUGCGAGCGUUAAUCGGAUUUACUGGGCGUAAAGCGCGCGUAGGUGGUUAAUUAAGUCAAAUGUGAAAUCCCCGAGCUUAACUUGGGGAUUGCAUUCGAUACUGGUUAGCUAGAGUAUGGGAGAGGAUGGUAGAAUUCCAGGUGUAGCGGUGAAAUGCGUAGAGAUCUGGAGGAAUACCGAUGGCGAAGGCAGCCAUCUGGCCUAAUACUGACACUGAGGUGCGAAAGCAUGGGGAGCAAACAGGAUUAGAAACCCGAGUAGUCC